CCAAAGGCUCUUUUCAGAGCCACCCACAAGUGCACUGAGAAGCUGU
Myotis brandtii (Brandt's bat) is the source of this 46-nucleotide non-coding RNA. The record is from Rfam. Lineage: Eukaryota; Metazoa; Chordata; Mammalia; Chiroptera; Vespertilionidae.